RNAcentral lists this ribosomal RNA (700 nucleotides) under uncultured bacterium. Its description in RNAcentral is "bacterial SSU rRNA". It matches the Rfam family "Bacterial small subunit ribosomal RNA", at positions 114 to 850 of the family's 1533-position model. The record is from RNAcentral.
CGCGUGGGAACGUGCCCUUUGCUGCGGAAUAGCCACUGGAAACGGUGAGUAAUACCGCAUGAGCCCUUCGGGGGAAAGAUUUAUCGGCAAGGGAUCGGCCCGCGUUGGAUUAGGUAGUUGGUGGGGUAAUGGCCUACCAAGCCGACGAUCCAUAGCUGGUUUCAGAGGAUGAUCAGCCACACUGGGACUGAGACACGGCCCAGACUCCUACGGGAGGCAGCAGUGGGGAAUCUUAGACAAUGGGCGCAAGCCUGAUCUAGCCAUGCCGCGUGAGUGACGAAGGCCCUAGGGUCGUAAAGCUCUUUCGCCUGUGAAGAUAAUGACGGUAGCAGGUAAAGAAACCCCGGCUAACUCCGUGCCAGCAGCCGCGGUAAUACGGAGGGGGUUAGCGUUGUUCGGAAUUACUGGGCGUAAAGCGCGCGUAGGCGGACCAUCAAGUUGGGGGUGAAAUCCCGGGGCUCAACCCCGGAACUGCCUCCAAAACUGGCGGUCUGGAGUUCGAGAGAGGUGAGUGGAAUUCCGAGUGUAGAGGUGAAAUUCGUAGAUAUUCGGAGGAACACCAGUGGCGAAGGCGGCUCACUGGCUCGAUACUGACGCUGAGGUGCGAAAGUGUGGGGAGCAAACAGGAUUAGAUACCCUGGUAGUCCACACCGUAAACGAUGAAUGCCAGUCGUCGGCAAGCAUGCUUGUCGGUGACACA